UUCUUUGGUAUUCAAUUCCUGCAUUGUCGGUACCUGCACCCGCAGAUAAGUAUUUCUUAAUUCUGAUUUGCAAUAUACCCAUUUUGCCAUUCUGUUUCUUUUUCAUUCUCAUUCUCGUCCUAAUGGAUGUCAAAUGCAGUUAAUGCAGUUUGGUGAGGUUGUCCGAUAGAGGGAAGGAUGUUGAUGCAUCACAAUUCAACUUUUUAACGUAUAAUAGUAAAUGUCUAUAAACCUUCAAAUUCUUCUUUCCUUUUGUCUUCCUCCUAUUUACACACACACACAUAUUAUCAAGAACCAGACGUUCAUUUUAUUGCAGCAUUUGCAAUGAGAAUUUCAGUGCUUUUACUUGUGCUUGUUCAUCAUCAAAUUCUGGUGGGCAUAGGUUCAAAUGCUGUGGCAAGAGAGAUUUUCUUCGUCCCAACAGAUUCUUCUUCUGAUCAUAGAAAAUUGUCAUCAGAUUCUGCAACCAGCAGCACUUCCAUUAGACUCCAUUUUUCCAGGUAUUCAUCAUCGAAAAACAAGAUUGUGGACGAAGAUGAAGACGACAAGCGCGUGGUUCCAACAGGAUCAAAUCCCUUACACAACAGGUAGAAGAGAAGGGAUUUUCUUGCAAUCUUGAUUGUUUAGCAGAAAUUAGUAUUGCAUAAUUAUCCUCUUGUUUGCAUUAUGCAAUAGUUGGCUACCAAAUGAUGCUUCCUAAUUAUCAUUACUAUUUUGAGGCAAUCAUGUUGCAUGUAAUUAUAAUUAUUUAAUUAUGCAGAUCCAAUGAAUUAUGAAUUUUUAUAUAUCC
Molecule: long non-coding RNA, 790 nt
Filed under: Olea europaea subsp. europaea
Lineage: Eukaryota; Viridiplantae; Streptophyta; Magnoliopsida; Lamiales; Oleaceae
Source: RNAcentral